CACAAUUUUGAUACUUCAGGGACUAUGGCAUUAAAUGAUUCAAAACUAGAUAGAAUUUAUUUUGAAAAUAGGUAUUUCUACAUCAGAGAGCAGUUUAAUGUCUUUAAAAAAUGUGGCAUUUCCCACCAACUUCCUUCAGUUUCUCUGGGCUGGUUUAUUUUUCUCCCUGUAGGAUUUUGUAUUAUGGACACUUUUCAAUCAAUUGUAUGAUCAAACAGUUGUACUGUGUACAAAAUUUUUCAUAAUAUCUGUUCCUUUUUCUUCUUUUCAUGAAGGAUACUUUUGAUGAGUAUGGAACAUAGAAGAGAAAGUAAGCAUGUGGGUCAUAGUUACUGAUGUUCUCCCAACUGUCUUUUGGGGUCAUAUACUUUUUUCAGUGUUUUGAUAUCUUUCCUUCUUUUAGAUCAUCAUUAUCAUGAUCAAUCCAUUCAAGGAGGGCCACAUCAGGACAAGUCUGGAAAAGAGGUCUUAGGCCUAGAGAUCAGACUAAGGGGAAAAGAGAAGAAAAAUACACAGCUGUCAGUUCAGAUGAAGGCAGAAUCCAAAAGAUAGAAAAACCACCUCCACUCAUAUCUUCUAAUUCCACCCAUAUUUGCAGGUCCCCAAGCCAGUAUUCAACUCUUUAGAAGUUCUGAAGAAUCCACAUUUAUAUUUUUCAAAUAUAAAUAUGCUACACUAACCUCAACCUAUAAGAUGCCUCAAACAUCUGUAUGUCUCUGAAAAGUAAAAAUGGUUUAAUGGAAAGAACAUUGGGUUCAACUCUCAACUUGGUCACAUACUGGCUCUGUGAUUUUGGGCAAGUCACUUUCCUUAUGAUUGCUUUCCCUGUUUAACUCAGCCUUGCCUAGCUAACAGCAGAUCUCUUUGCUGAUGACAUCAGAGAGGAGAAACUACAGAUGGAGCUCAUUAAGAGUUUACUUUUUCCACUGCCACCUUUCCCCUCCUCCAUCCCAUGACUAUGAAAAAAUGCUGGGCACACAGUGCUGCUGUCUGGUUGCCAUGGUGACCACAGCCUAUUAUCCCGCCUUGUCAUUCAUCAAGAAAGAAUUGCACUUGACAGAGAGAGGAGAAUGCCUGCAGUCUGCAGCAAAAAAAAAAGGGGGGGGCGGUUUUCUUUUCUUCUGAGUAUGUAAAAGGUCUUUAAUGCCCGUUUCGUUACAUGUUUUAUUUAACAUUAUUUAUUACUUGUAACGGCAAUAAUUGAUACCUGUAAAAAUACACCCCCUCCCUUCAAAGUGUUUAAUUUGCAAUUUGCUCGUUUGUCUUGCUUCCCCAUUUUCAAGCUACACCCCCCUUCACUUCCACCUCCGUGAGGGGAACAGCUAAAUGGUCACAUUCUCCAAAGAGAGUGACCAUUGUCCAGGUGCCUCAAAAAGCAAGCCAACCUCACCCCCCCCCCCUUAAUUGUGCCCUGUGCUCAUCAGCUUCUGCUGUCCUCCUCAUUUAGAAAAAUAAUUAGUGCACUUUGGGGAAAACAACAACAACAACAAUUGAACAUAACCUUUGACCAGAGCAGAUCCUCCAAGUGUGCAAUGCCUGUGGACUAAAAUAUUCAAAAAGGAAGGUUUCUGCCCUCCCCCCAAAAUGGAGGUCUUUCCAGGAGAGGGUAGAAUAUAAAACCAGUAAUUGCUCUUUACAAAGUUGGAUCCUAACCAAACUCAUUCUUCAAAGGCAGGAAAAGGUAAUUACUUGUUAUUUGGCCAUUCCUCAUCUUUGCCAUCUGAAUUAACCCAAAUUAAUUCUGAAAAUAUGUGGCCUAAUACCUUUUGUAAAUGAAUACAUUUGUAGGUUUAAACACCUUGUCUUUUUCUUUUACGCUCCCCCCCCCUUUUCUUUCUUUCUUUCUUCCUUGUUAUUAAGAACCUGGGAUUAUUUCCCUGUUAAUUGUUGGGUUGUUAAACUAUCUGUAUCUGGUUGGGUCAUUGUAAAAGCCUGUGCUCUACAGAACUGCCUGGUACCAGCUGAUUUCCUUGUUAAUGGGGAGAAUGUAUAGUAAAAAAAGUUUUAUUGGCUGGGUGGGAUUUUAAGUUGAGGUCCUCUUAGCUUGGUUUUUAAAUCUGUUGAAUCUUUUGUCCUGGAGAUCACAGGAAAGAUGGUAGAAGCACAGAUGCACCUGAAUUGCUGA
Molecule: long non-coding RNA, 2125 nt
Filed under: Monodelphis domestica (gray short-tailed opossum)
Lineage: Eukaryota; Metazoa; Chordata; Mammalia; Didelphimorphia; Didelphidae
Description: lncRNA (ENSMODG00000031716.2)
Source: RNAcentral